GCCAGGUGUGGUGGCAAAGACCUGUAAUCCCAGUUACUCAGGAGACAGAGGCAGGAGGAUUGCAAGUUUGAGGCCAGCCUCAGCAAUUUAGUGAGACCCUGCCUCAA
RNAcentral lists this small RNA (107 nucleotides) under Marmota monax (woodchuck). The record is from RNAcentral. Lineage: Eukaryota; Metazoa; Chordata; Mammalia; Rodentia; Sciuridae.